RNAcentral lists this transfer RNA (63 nucleotides) under Aegosoma sinicum. RNAcentral's name for it is "tRNA-His". Lineage: Eukaryota; Metazoa; Arthropoda; Insecta; Coleoptera; Cerambycidae. The record is from RNAcentral.
AUUCAAAUAGUUUAUUAAAAAUACAAGUUUGUGGGGCUUGGGAUGUAGGUUAUACUUUGGAUA